AUCAUUACACAACUUUGCCAACUCUCAAAACCUGCAAAUCAUCAUCCAAGUUCGCGAAUUUAAUCGAGAACAAAAGUUGGGGAUUGUAACUUCAAGCAUUGACACCAAAUCAUGAAAUCAAGUAUGAGGAUCGGAAGAAGACACAUAGGACGUGCCUUAGAAAAAUAAAUCGGGAUAUUGUCUUAUGUUUUAUACUUUGAGCAUUUUGUCAUGA
Molecule: long non-coding RNA, 214 nt
Filed under: Helianthus annuus (common sunflower)
Lineage: Eukaryota; Viridiplantae; Streptophyta; Magnoliopsida; Asterales; Asteraceae
Description: hypothetical non coding rna
Source: RNAcentral